UACAGAGGCCUCGAGCGUUAGGCGGAAUCACUGGGCUUAAAGCGUGUGUAGGCGGACUUCUAAGUGCCUUGUGAAAUCCCACGGCUCACCCGUGGAACUGCUGGGCAUACUGGGAGUCUUGAGCCACCUAGGAGCGAGCGGAACAAAUGGUGGAGCGGUGAAAUGCGUAGAUAUCAUUUGGAACGCCAACGGAGAAAUCAGCUCGCUGGGGGUGUGCUGACGCUGAGACACGAAAGCCAGGGGAGCGAACGGG
This 253-nucleotide ribosomal RNA is filed under the name uncultured bacterium. RNAcentral describes it as "partial 16S ribosomal RNA". It matches the Rfam family "Bacterial small subunit ribosomal RNA", at positions 524 to 776 of the family's 1533-position model. The record is from RNAcentral.